This 397-nucleotide ribosomal RNA is filed under the name uncultured bacterium. Its description in RNAcentral is "partial 16S ribosomal RNA". It matches the Rfam family "Bacterial small subunit ribosomal RNA", at positions 523 to 918 of the family's 1533-position model. The record is from RNAcentral.
AUACGUAGGGGGCGAGCGUUGUCCGGAAUGAUUGGGCGUAAAGGGCGCGUAGGCGGCCCGGUAAGUCUGGAGUGAAAGUCCUGUUUUUAAGAUGGGAAUUGCUUUGGAUACUGUCGGGCUUGAGUGCAGGAGAGGUAAGUGGAAUUCCCAGUGUAGCGGUGAAAUGCGUAGAGAUUGGGAGGAACACCAGUGGCGAAGGCGACUUACUGGACUGUAACUGACGCUGAGGCGCGAAAGUGUGGGGAGCAAACAGGAUUAGAUACCCUGGUAGUCCACGCCGUAAACGAUGAGUGCUAAGUGUUGGAGGGUUUCCGCCCUUCAGUGCUGCAGCUAACGCAUUAAGCACUCCGCCUGGGGAGUACGGCCGCAAGGUUGAAACUCAAAGGAAUUGACGGGG